This 292-nucleotide ribosomal RNA is filed under the name Clostridioides difficile. Its description in RNAcentral is "partial 23S ribosomal RNA". It matches the Rfam family "Bacterial large subunit ribosomal RNA", at positions 1112 to 1411 of the family's 2925-position model. The record is from RNAcentral. Lineage: Bacteria; Bacillati; Bacillota; Clostridia; Peptostreptococcales; Peptostreptococcaceae.
GCAGCCACUCAUUCAAAGAGUGCGUAAUAGCUCACUGGUCGAGUGAUCCUGCGCCGAAGAUUUCCGGGGCUAAAACUUACUACCGAAGCUACGGCAUCAGUAAUGAUGGGUAGGGGAGCUUCCCAGACGGGUGGAGGCAUGAACGUAAGGACAGGUGGACAGUAGGGGAGUGAGAAUGGUGGCAUGAGUAGAGAGAUGUGGGUGAGAAUGCGAGAGGCCGUAAACCCAAGGGUAGCAGGGGAAGGUGGGUCGGCCCUGGGGAGGUCGGGACCUAAGCUGAGGCCGAAAGGCG